UAUUAGUUAGUGUAAGAGCACAUUUAAUUUUGAUUUAAAUAGAAAUGGUUUAAUUCCAUUAUAGUAU
This 67-nucleotide transfer RNA is filed under the name Pallenopsis pilosa. RNAcentral's name for it is "tRNA-Gln". The stretch from base 7 to 61 matches the Rfam family "tRNA", at positions 7 to 64 of the family's 71-position model. Rfam says of the family: Transfer RNA (tRNA) molecules are approximately 80 nucleotides in length. Their secondary structure includes four short double-helical elements and three loops (D, anti-codon, and T loops). The record is from RNAcentral. Lineage: Eukaryota; Metazoa; Arthropoda; Pycnogonida; Pantopoda; Pallenopsidae.